This 434-nucleotide ribosomal RNA is filed under the name uncultured Enterobacter sp. RNAcentral's name for it is "bacterial SSU rRNA". It matches the Rfam family "Bacterial small subunit ribosomal RNA", at positions 958 to 1392 of the family's 1533-position model. The record is from RNAcentral. Lineage: Bacteria; Pseudomonadati; Pseudomonadota; Gammaproteobacteria; Enterobacterales; Enterobacteriaceae.
GGACGGAAGAACCUUACCUACUCUUGACAUCCAGAGAACUUUCCAGAGAUGGAUUGGUGCCUUCGGGAACUCUGAGACAGGUGCUGCACGGCUGUCGUCAGCUCGUGUUGUGAAAUGUUGGGUUAAGUCCCGCAACGAGCGCAACCCUUAUCCUUUGUUGCUAGCGGUUCGGCCGGGAACUCAAAGGAGACUGCCAGUGAUAAACUGGAGGAAGGUGGGGAUGACGUCAAGUCAUCAUGGCCCUUACGAGUAGGGCUACACACGUGCUACAAUGGCGCAUACAAAGAGAAGCGACCUCGCGAGAGCAAGCGGACCUCAUAAAGUGCGUCGUAGUCCGGAUUGGAGUCUGCAACUCGACUCCAUGAAGUCGGAAUCGCUAGUAAUCGUAGAUCAGAAUGCUACGGUGAAUACGUUCCCGGGUCUUGUACACACCG